UAGCUAUGGCUCAACAAAGUGCUGCGCCUCUCGUAGCCAGUUGUAAAAUCACAAGGAGACGACAAGAUCAAGUUUAGAUAUUACACGUGCCUUAAAAAGACGCAGCUAAACCUGUAAUGAUCAGAUCACUAUGUUAUGAGCCACAAGAAAAAGGCAAAGUAGACCGCUGACCCUUCAACAAGCAACCCUCUUGAACGGGCAUCUUCUUGUUCUCAGGUGCUGGACUGUGUCUCCCCCUGCAGGAUGAAAAGGGAAACGAUAAAAAGGGAUUAAACUCAUCUCUGUGGAAAUUGUAUUUACAUUGGGAGCAAAGCAGACUGAUUUUAUUCUACAAAAAAGGUUAAUGGUAAACUGCACAUAUCUGCAUGUUUAAAUACAUAUUUAUUAAUAGCAGCGCCAAAAAUGCAUCUAACGUGUCAGUAUACGUAGGCUUUUGUUUAAACAACCAACAGCACAAUGUUAUUUUUCAGUCACUCAAGAUAUAUUCGCAUCCUUCAGCCAGGAAAAACAUAAAAGCUACAUCCUUACUUCAAUUACAAUUUAAGUUGGAGCCAGAGUUUCCUCCUGGACAGAAGAGGGGGCUGUUUGUCGCGAGCUUCACGCUCACUCAGCCGCCAUAAUGAGACCCGUUUGUGAGUUUUGAGUGGAGCGUCAGGCUGCAGAUUAAAAACAGAAAUUUAACAGCGGCUGAUGAUUGUACGGACUACGUCUGAUGCCGGAACACAGUUGUGUAGCGAAGACAAACACAACUCUACACCAGCCACAGUUUUGUCGUCUAAUUCCAUCAUUUUAGCUGCAAGGUUUCAGAAAUUAAGUAUAAAAAAGAAAGAAACGCUUGCUAUGUCUGGUGAAACCAACUUUGUG
Long non-coding RNA from Gasterosteus aculeatus aculeatus (three-spined stickleback), 864 nucleotides. The record is from Ensembl. NCBI's taxonomy places the organism in Eukaryota, Metazoa, Chordata, Actinopteri, Perciformes, Gasterosteidae.